MicroRNA precursor from Arabis alpina (gray rockcress), 128 nucleotides. It matches the Rfam family "MIR161 microRNA precursor family". NCBI's taxonomy places the organism in Eukaryota, Viridiplantae, Streptophyta, Magnoliopsida, Brassicales, Brassicaceae. The record is from Rfam.
GUUAUUGCGUCGAUCAAUGCAUUGAAAGUGACUACAUCGGGGCUUAUAUAUUUUGUUCAAAUCGUAUGCAAUGAAAAUUUGUAAUUCAGCUCCGGUGUAAUCACUUUCACUGCGUUAAUCAAUGCAUU